ACAGGGCCGUGCUCUCUGCAGUUCCGGGCACCCAUUGCGUUUCUUGGAAUGUUCCUCUGUAGAUGAGGGAGGGUGUCUAUUGCAUAGCUAGUAUCCUUCCAUUUUCUCCAGCACAAACUGUGUAUGUAUUAAAUAUGAGUAACAUCCUUCUUGGUCCCCAUGAUAACCCAUGCUCCACUUUGUUCUUCAGUGAAGCUUCCCCUUCUAGGACUCUCAUACAAUUGGAGUCUGACAGUACGCUCUAGGCUGGCUUGCUUCACUCAGCACAUGCCUUCCAGAUCUGUCCCUGUUGUAACACAUGGCAAGAUUCCCUUUCUAACAUUGCUUUGUCUUUUGGUAGUUUCAUACAUGAGUACAGUAUGUUUAGAUCAUAUCUCCCUUCUACCCCCCACUUGUGAGUCUCUUCCCUCCCCCUGUUAGAAUGUUGGCUAGCUUGAUCCUGUGCAAGUCUUAUGUUGGCAGCCAUAGCUGCUGAGAGUUUGUGGAUGCGACGACCCUGUCAUUUCUAGGAGACAGUAUUUAGCAGCAGUCCUCCAUGACUUCUGAUUGUUACAGUCUUUCCUCCCCAUUAUCCCUGAUAUACCCAUAGCCUUGUGGGAGACAGGCUCAAGUUCCUUCAUAUUUUUUUAACGGUAAUAUUCCAUUAUACAAAAGCCAGUUUAGUUUAUUGAAGAUGCUUGGACACUUUGGGCUAGGGUGGGCAGAGCUCUUAGGAACUCCUUUAUACAACUAUCUGUUUAAAUAUCGCCCUCAGUCCCUUUGAAAAUUUAUCUAGGAGCGAAAUGGCUGGGCCUUAGAAUGGCUCCACAUUCAACCUUUUAACACUUGUCAAGACUGUGCUCUUACAUUCACGCUGGCAGCCUGUGAGAGUCAACUUUAUCGUAACCAUUAGCCAAUAGCAGUUGUCUUCCCUUUUCCUUUCUUUCUUUCUUUCUUUCUUUUUUUAUUUGCCCUUAGGUUUUAGUUUUAUUUAAAAAGAUUUGUUCUUAAUUAUGGGUAUGUGUCUGUGUGUGUGGUUAUGUGCACAUAUGAGUGCAGGUGCUGUCAGAAUCCAGUAGAGGGCGCCAGAGGGCGCCGGACUCCCCCUAAAGCAAGUAGCAGCUAUGAGUGCUGGGAACCAAAUUUGGGUCUUCUGUAGGAGCAGUCUGAACUCUUCACUGCUGAGCCAUCUCUCCAGCCCCUGCCUUCUUAGUUUAAAACAGUGACAUCUUACUGUGACUUUGUUUUCUAUUUCCCUAACCAUUAAUGGUGUCAAGCAUCUUUUCAUGUGAUUUUUGUUGUUGUUCCCUCAUGUCUUCAUCUUCUUUGAAGAAAGCACCAUCCAGGUCUAACACUCCGAUGCCUUGUCUCUUCCCCACUUUCCCUUGGCUUGUGGCUACGUUCCAGCAACUCGAGUUUCAAGGGCACUAAUUUCCUCCGCUGCUCUUUAGAAUUUGAGGUAAAAAGAAAACAGUAAUUGAAACAGACAGUCGUUAUUUACAUCUGGGAGGCUGGUAUUACACACCCUGAUGCUCUUUCAUUAGCUGUAUUAUAUUCUUAUUAUGUGUUUUACUAGGUAAUUGUAAUCUGUGGCUUUGGGAUUUUCUAGCUUUCUUUUUGGUUUAUUUUUAUAAACAGACAACAGCAUGAGUCUAAAAGAACAGGGCCUCAGUAGG
This 1655-nucleotide long non-coding RNA is filed under the name Mus musculus (house mouse). RNAcentral describes it as "long non-coding RNA chr8:114967987-114969642". Lineage: Eukaryota; Metazoa; Chordata; Mammalia; Rodentia; Muridae. The record is from RNAcentral.